AGGUAAUGAUUUUCCCAGAAGGGACGUGUACAAACCGAUCGUGUUUGAUCACAUUUAAACAAGGAGCUUUUAUUCCUGGGGUUUCUGUUCAGCCCGUGAUUAUUCGCUACCCCAACAAGUUGGAUACUGUGACAUGGACCUGGCAGGGAAACAGCUUGUAAGUCAAAUCCUCGGAAGAGAAAUGCACUUUCUAAAAACUUAUUUGUGUUAGGCAGUGUCUGUUAGGCACAACGGUUUUGAGCAUUGUUGCAUUUUAAGAAUUGUUACACAGAUCAAAGGAUUUGUGGUGGCAACUGGUAAUAAAUGAUAAUG
Non-coding RNA from Thamnophis sirtalis, 312 nucleotides. Lineage: Eukaryota; Metazoa; Chordata; Lepidosauria; Squamata; Natricidae. The record is from RefSeq and is a predicted model, not a curated record.